AAAAAAAAUUUAUUAAAUACAUUAAUAUUUAAUUUUUAAAUUUAAAUUACUGAUAUAAAAUUAUGGUUCACUGAUAAAUCUAUUUAUAGCUACUACCUGCGAUUAAAAAACGGUAAUGCACGAUUUCCCAAGUCUACUAGAUAAGAUUGAGAUCGAGGUUCAAAUUAAAGUUUAUAGUCACACCAUUCAAAGUCCCCACAGAGAAAGCUUUAGUAUUUUUAAAUAUUAAACACUUGACGCAUGCUUAGGAUUUUUAAUGACAACUGUAAGGAACAAUGGCGACAGAAAUAAAAUAACUCGGAAGCUUUACUGAUUAAGGGCAUUCUCCGUCAAGCUCUCCCCUUCACUUUUUAAAGGAAGCACAAAAGCAGUGAUAAUGAUAUGAGCAAGAGUGCAAGGAAAUUUUUUUCUUUUCAUAAUUAUUAUUAUUGUUAUCAAAGUUCAUAAUAACAGGAGAGAGAGAGUAGAAGAAGAAGAAGUAUAGUAAUUAGAAGAAGAAGAAAGCAAGCUAAUACAGUAUGAACCUACCGAGACCUUCAAGUUCGGGAUAAUUAGGUGCUUGGACUAAAGGAUAAAAAGAAAUAGAUGAAUAAACUGUAUUAGUAUGACUGUUAUUUAAAAAACGUAUUGUUUAAAAUGAUAUAUUUAAAUAACGACGAAGUCUGUGCAGCCACUGCGACAGUAUUUUAUCUAAUGAUGAUCAGAAUCCACCUGUGACUUUAAAAUACUAAUUAUCACUAUAAUAAUUAAUUAUAAUUGAUAACUAAACUCAUCUCGAGAUGAUGCGAUGCGUCAAAUGUAUUUAUAUUUAUUAAUAAUAAUAAAUAAUUAAUUAGAUGAUUAAAGUUUGCGAGUUUGAUUUAUAAAUUUUAGUACUGCCGCAAUAGCUUUGCUGUCUGAACUUGAAUUAUAAAGUAUCAGUAUUAAGUUUUGAAUAUAAUUAUUAGU
This is a long non-coding RNA of Microplitis demolitor, 948 nucleotides long. RefSeq lists it as uncharacterized. The record is from RefSeq and is a predicted model, not a curated record. NCBI's taxonomy places the organism in Eukaryota, Metazoa, Arthropoda, Insecta, Hymenoptera, Braconidae. The transcript has 4 exons.